UGCUUUGCCUGCUGCUGGUGUCUGAUAGAUACUUUAUUGGGAGAUUCGUUGUCAUCUGCGAGGAUUAAAACCUGACAGGCUGAAAUGAUAUUGGAAACUGAGGAGCUGAGGGUUUCGCUGGAUGGAGCCCGGUGUGUGUGGCAAGUGGCAGCGUAUUUCUUCUUGGCACCGCAGUUCUAUUGAUCGCUGUGUAAUACAUGGGGCUUCGUGCCUUUAAUUCUAUCAGGUGAAGAUGAUGGAUGGGCAUGUGGGCACCUUUAGGCUGGCAGCACUCUGUGUGUUAUCCAAGCACGCGUCAGCCCACGUUGCUGACGUGCCCAAGUGUUUGCUCACUGCACAGGGGCCCUGGAAGCGAUGCAGGCAAAGCACCAACGCUCAGACUGGGGCAGCCGUGGCUUUCCCUACUGCAAGCAAAUAUAAAAAGAGAGCUGUGUGAGUCAGGGUGAGUUCUGAGAGGAGGUGCUGAAAUAAAGAUCACUGCAAGGAGGUGAAAAGGAAUGCAGGGCCACGUCUCUUCUGGUGCAGACUUGGUGUGAGGCAGCCUGGAUCCCAUGGGUGCUGGCAGUGGCUCCGCAUCCCGCGUCACGGCCGUGUCCCCGGCGCAUCCGGGAGCACUGCAGGCCAGGGCGACCCUGCCCCGGGUUUUCUGCUGCUUUGCUGGAUGGUUUCACAAAUAACUGUUUGCCAUGAGAUAUCGCUUCUCAUUCUGCAUGAAGGGGCUGUUUUAUUUCAAUCUGCGGGAGGGAAUGAUGAAAUCCAUUACGUCCAAUGCUCCGAAAGCAUCUAUAGCACAGCUUCUGCGAGCUCAUAUUUUUUUUCCCAGAGACCGAUAACUUGGAGGCUUUGGGCUUUUGUACAAUCUUUAAUCUUCUAAAGUGCGGCAUAAUUUAGCUAAGAAGUGGUUUGGUAAAUUUCUUUUUCUUUUUUUUAGCGCUUUUAAGCUCUGCCCAUGCUGAGCAGCCUCUGGACCUCGAGGUGCAGGGAGGCAUCGUGCUCCAGAUCUGAGAUGGGGAGAGCAGAUGGGCUCAGCGUUGCUGCGGCUGCUCCAGGUCCCGAGUGUGGUGAUGGGUUCCACACAAACCCCAUGUGGAAACUCUGGUGUCUGGGAGCUCCCUGGUACCCGGUGCUUGGUCCAUCACUGCUUUCCUUUUGUCUCCUGCUCCAAAGUGCUGCUGUGCUGGUGCUGAGCUCGCUGCUGGUGACCCAGCCCUUCCCACCCACGGAACGCGUCGGUCGGGAACCCAGAGCUGGAACAGCCUCGUGGGAAACACUGGGACGGAUGAAUCAAGGAGUAAUUUUCUGUUUAUGGAGCAAUUGCUGUGUUGUGCAAGCAGCCCUUUGUCAAGAGAGGGAAUUUACCAGCUGUUGGCAACCCACAUCAGAUCAUUUUAAACGAGUUAUUCAAAAUAUCAUUAAGGAUCCUCAGCUCGCGGAGAAGGAAAGAAAACCAAAACCUGCAGCUGAAGGCGGUGCCUGGGAGGGAUGCUGGCAUGGAUGAGGUGAUACUGGGUCACUCUGGGAGCUGCCAUCACAGCGGUGGGGCCGGGCUGCCCCAAAGCCACGGCUGGGGAGGAGGGAGGCAAGGAGAAACACAGACACUGCUCCGGCUCUUUGAGAAGGGCUGGAAAUGCCGACAGCCCACAGACUGCCCUGUUUCCAUGGCAACAGGAGGAUGCAUCCAAAAGGACAAAGUUUGGAACACUCCCACAUAUGAGCUGGGAUUUUUGUUGUUGUAAGUCAAUUCCGUGUUAUUAUACCUUAUUUUUGUAGCGAUAAUCUCCUGCUUUAAUAGAUCUCAGAAGUUUUUACAAGCAUCUCCCAGGUCUAUUUUUACCUCUCUCUGGUGCAAAAAAAAAAAAAAAAAAAACAAAUGAGAGGAAGUCAGAAGAGGGGGGAAAAGAAGGCACAGAGUUGGGAGACAAAUGUCAGCACAGCUUUGAUCCCCCCCCGGAUGCAGCUCCAGUUGUAUCAGUUUAUAAGCAUUAGAUUUGCAUAUUCAUGUCCCUUAAUUUGCUCUUCGGGGGCUGAAAUCUAAUAAUUAAUGAACAAAAUCUUCCUGUGUGUGGGGAGGAAACCCUGGUUAUGCAAUAGAGAGAUAAUCAGACAUAAAUAACCUGGUGUGCUGGAGGAAAGGAAAGGCAGCCCGAAAUCACAGUGCAUGACAGCAGAUCUCGGCCGGGCCGGGGCUGUGUGGGGCUGCAGUGGGCAGCCUCCAGCAGCGUGAAUCAAGCAAUAAAUCCCCUGUGUUCCCCCUUUAUUAAAUUCCU
Numida meleagris (helmeted guineafowl) is the source of this 2267-nucleotide long non-coding RNA. The record is from Ensembl. Lineage: Eukaryota; Metazoa; Chordata; Aves; Galliformes; Numididae.